RNAcentral lists this ribosomal RNA (253 nucleotides) under uncultured bacterium. Its description in RNAcentral is "partial 16S ribosomal RNA". It matches the Rfam family "Bacterial small subunit ribosomal RNA", at positions 524 to 776 of the family's 1533-position model. The record is from RNAcentral.
UACGUAGGGGGCAAGCGUUGUCCGGAAUCAUUGGGCGUAAAGCGCGUGUAGGCGGCCCGGUAAGUCCGCUGUGAAAGUCGGGGGCUCAACCCUCGAAUGCCGGUGGAUACUGUCGGGCUAGAGUGCGGGAGAGGCGAGUGGAAUUCCUGGUGUAGCGGUGAAAUGCGCAGAUAUCAGGAGGAACACCAAUUGCGAAGGCAGCGCGCCGGAACGUAACUGACGCUGAGACGCGAAAGCGUGGGGAGCAAACAGG